AUUGAACGCUGGCGGCGUGCUUAACACAUGCAAGUCGAGCGGUAACAGGCGUAGCAAUACGUGCUGACGAGCGGCGAACGGGUGCGUAAUACAUCGGAAUCUGCCUCGUAGUGGGGAAUAACCCGGCGAAAGCCGGGCUAAUGCCGCAUACGAUCCACGGAUGAAAGCGGGGGACUUUCGGCCUCGCGCUAUGAGAUGAGCCGAUGUCGGAUUAGCAGUUGGUGAGGUAACGGCUCACCAAGGCGACGAUCCGUAGCUGGUCUGAGAGGACGGCCAGCCACACUGGGACUGAGACACGGCCCAGACUCCUACGGGAGGCAGCAGUGGGGAAUAUUGGACAAGUGGGGAAACCCUGAUCCAGCGACGCCG
RNAcentral lists this ribosomal RNA (369 nucleotides) under uncultured bacterium. RNAcentral's name for it is "bacterial SSU rRNA". It matches the Rfam family "Bacterial small subunit ribosomal RNA", at positions 29 to 399 of the family's 1533-position model. The record is from RNAcentral.